UGUCUUCAGUUCAUGGACUGGCUGAGGAUGCUCCAUUGAGCUGAGCCAAAACAGAAAUUACAAAAACCCAACCCUGGACUGGUGCAGAACCUUGACUGAUUACCCAGCAAUCCUGUGCAGGAAACUACCUCCUAUCAAGUGAAAUUUAAUAAGGCAGAUUCUGACAAGAGUCCACUGCGCUGAAUUGACUACUCACUAAUGCGGAGGAGCACGAAGACCAAAGGAUGUACGGAACAAUGCAAAAAAAGAAAAUUAAGAGUAGUAAUGAAAGACUGUAACCCAUUUGUGAGGGAUACAAAUGGUAGUAAGCCAUAGAGAUCAAUGUUGGGAUCAUUUUUCUUUUGAAUAUGUAUAAUUUGGUCUUAACAAAUGUAUUUCAAAAUAAUGAAGAAGGUACUACCCUAUUGAACACUGUUGUCUACCAUGCUAUUGGGUUUGUGCUGCAGCUUGUCAGAAAUGAAUUAAUGAAGAAAUAAAGGGAGAAUGAAUAGUGAGCAA
This is a long non-coding RNA of Rhincodon typus (whale shark), 498 nucleotides long. RefSeq lists it as uncharacterized. The record is from RefSeq and is a predicted model, not a curated record. The transcript is spliced from 3 exons. NCBI's taxonomy places the organism in Eukaryota, Metazoa, Chordata, Chondrichthyes, Orectolobiformes, Rhincodontidae.